GGGGCGGUAGCUCAGUGGUUAGAGCAAGGGACUCAUAAUCCCCGGGUCGUGGGUUCGAACCCCACUCGCCCCA
Molecule: transfer RNA, 73 nt
Filed under: Acidimicrobiales bacterium
Lineage: Bacteria; Bacillati; Actinomycetota; Acidimicrobiia; Acidimicrobiales
Description: tRNA-Ile
Rfam family: tRNA
About the family: Transfer RNA (tRNA) molecules are approximately 80 nucleotides in length. Their secondary structure includes four short double-helical elements and three loops (D, anti-codon, and T loops). Further hydrogen bonds mediate the characteristic L-shaped molecular structure. tRNAs have two regions of fundamental functional importance: the anti-codon, which is responsible for specific mRNA codon recognition, and the 3' end, to which the tRNAs corresponding amino acid is attached (by aminoacyl-tRNA synthetases). tRNAs cope with the degeneracy of the genetic code in two manners: having more than one tRNA (with a specific anti-codon) for a particular amino acid; and 'wobble' base-pairing, i.e. permitting non-standard base-pairing at the 3rd anti-codon position.
Source: RNAcentral